RNAcentral lists this ribosomal RNA (197 nucleotides) under uncultured bacterium. Its description in RNAcentral is "partial 16S ribosomal RNA". It matches the Rfam family "Bacterial small subunit ribosomal RNA", at positions 328 to 539 of the family's 1533-position model. The record is from RNAcentral.
ACGCUCGACACCUACGGGAGCAGCAGUGGGGAAUAUUGCACAAUGGGGGAAACCCUGAUGCAGCGACGCCGCGUGAGCGAAGAAGUAUUUCGGUAUGUAAAGCUCUAUCAGCAGGGAAGAAAAUGACGGUACCUGACUAAGAAGCCCCGGCUAACUACGUGCCUGCAGCCGCGGUAAUCUGAGCGGGCUGGCAAGGC